Molecule: long non-coding RNA, 436 nt
Organism: Drosophila biarmipes
Lineage: Eukaryota; Metazoa; Arthropoda; Insecta; Diptera; Drosophilidae
Exons: 2
Source: RefSeq, a predicted model, not a curated record
UUCUCACAAGCUCAUCUGGAUUCCGCUAACUAAAUUUGAUAUGAAAGGAUUCUUAAUUGUGCAUUUAAUGUUUGUAAUUAUUUUAAUCAUUCAUAGCCCUACUGCUUGUCCUAAGAAAUGCCAAUACUUGUUUUCAAGGUGCUGCGCACCUCGAUAAUUAAUAUAAUUUUUAAUUAAAUAUUAAAAAUAUAUAUAUUUAAAUUUUCAAUUAAGGUUAUUUGCUGAAAUAAAUAAAAUAUCAAGAUAAAUGUUAUUUACAACAAAUAACGAAUUCGUACAAAUUUAGAAACAUACAAUGUAUUUUGGGUUACAUUUUGCAGUGCUUUUUAAAAUAUGCUAACAUUGUUAAAAAAUAAGCAUAAAUUAAAAAAGAUGACAUUUUAAUUCUUCAAAGUUUUGUGUUUAAUUUAAUAAUAAAAUUCUAUAUUUUAAUAUA